RNAcentral lists this ribosomal RNA (309 nucleotides) under uncultured eukaryote. Its description in RNAcentral is "partial 18S ribosomal RNA". It matches the Rfam family "Eukaryotic small subunit ribosomal RNA", at positions 1470 to 1796 of the family's 1831-position model. The record is from RNAcentral.
CCCUUAGAUGUUCUGGGCGGCCCGCGCACUACAAUGGCGUGUGCAGCGAGUGCCGAAGUAGAGUUUUCCGAGGUAUUCUUGCAAUGCUCGUUUUGAUGGGGAUAGACCCUUGCAACUGUUGGUUUUGAACGAGGAAUUCCUUGUAAGCAUGGUUUAUCAUCCGACGCUGAAUGCGUCCCUGCCCUUUGUACACACCGCCCGUCGCUCCUACCGAUGAGUCGUCCGGUGAAGUUCGUAGACCUCGUGAUCGCGGAUCACUGGGGGAAGCAAAAUGAACCUCGCGGUUUGGAGGAAGGAGAAGUCGUAACA